This 117-nucleotide ribosomal RNA is filed under the name Streptosporangiales bacterium. The record is from RNAcentral. Lineage: Bacteria; Bacillati; Actinomycetota; Actinomycetes; Streptosporangiales.
UACGGCGGCCAUAGCGAAGGGGAAACACCCGGUCCCAUUCCGAACCCGGAAGUUAAGCUCUUCAGCGCCGAUGGUACUGCGCGGGCGACCGCGUGGGAGAGUAGGACGCCGCCGGAC